UUAAGUUCAGCGGGUAUUCCUACCUGAUCCGAGGUCAAAUUUUCAGAAGUUUGGGGGGUUUGAACGGCAGGGCACCGCCAGGGCCUUCCAGAACGAAAUAUAAUUACUACGCUCGGGGUCCUGGCGAGCUCGCCACUAGAUUUCAGGGCCCGCCCUUUUACAGGCGGUGCCCCAACACCAAGCAGUGCUUGAGGGUUGAA
RNAcentral lists this unclassified non-coding RNA (200 nucleotides) under Diaporthales sp. RNAcentral describes it as "partial internal transcribed spacer 2". The record is from RNAcentral. Lineage: Eukaryota; Fungi; Ascomycota; Sordariomycetes; Diaporthales.